ACAUGCGCAGUACAAAUCUGGUUUCCGGGACGGAUCGGGUAGUGACAGCGACAAGGGUAAUGAGAUGGCAGAUAUGGCGGCUCAAAGGGCGUUAAGGAGGGAGGUGGAAUUGGCUGUGGGCAUCGGGAUAUCUGAAUGUCGCUUCAUCAUCAGGGAGGUCGUUCCAGCUCAGUGGCAGAAGCAGUGGGAGAAUGAGGAAAAAGGACGCCAUUACUUCUCAAUACAAAAUAGUGUAAAGGCAGACCAGUGCUAUCUUGGAGCAAAAACACUCUGUGCUAAUGACAAGACUUGGACACUGUGGACUGGCAUGGGAUUUAGCUAAUAUCGGCAAACAUAAGGACGGACUAUGUGGAGUCUGCAGGAAACGGCAAGCUGUGAAACAUCUGCUUAUGGAGUGCAGCCUGUUUGAGGAACAAAGAACACAGUUAUAUGCCAAGUUGUCACACGAGGGAAUGGAAUCAAUUACAAUGAGGAGUCUCCUUAAUCCCAGAGAGAACCAGGCAAGGACGGUGAACGCAUCCUUCAUUUUGUUAACUCCACAGGAUUACAUCUUUGGAAGUAGGAAUGGUCUGAGUUCUGCAUUCUCACCCUGACGACCUGUGAGAGGCAGCAAUGUGCCGCAAGGCAUUCAGCUUGCCGGAUGCCUUGCGGCAAGAAGAAGAAGAAGCAGCAGCAGCAGCAGCAGCAGCAGCAGCAGCAGCUUCGCAGCUCGCAGGACAAUACGUCUGUCUCCGCCGGAGUUUACUCAAAUGUGACAAAAUCAAAACAACAUGUGGCUCUCUCUGCUGAUGCCGUGUCUCCUGAUAGAUUCGUCCUACGGUGUGAAAAAUAUCGCGGUUGAACCCGGACAGAAUGUCACUCUGCCAUGUAAAGUUCCCAACAACAGAAAAACCAUCACAGCUGUAAAGUGGAUCAGACCUGAACUGGGGAGGGCUAUGUUCUUUUCUACCGAGAUGGACUCUUAGAUCCAGAAUACCAACAUCCGUCUUACGAGAACAGGGUAGAUCUGCAGGACAAAGAGAUGAAGGAUGGAAACUUUUCUCUGGUUCUGAUGAAUGUGACGAUGGAGGACAGUGGAACAUACGAGUGUCAGGUUUUUCAGAAAGGAACAAAGCGCAGGAAGAGAUUGAUUGCAAAGCCUGAAACCAUGAGCAUCAUCAACCUGGACGUUCAUCCAUCGAGAGAUAAGAGUGGAAUCAUUGGAGGACCGGUGGGACUAGGUCUGUUUCUUAUUGCGGUGAUGGCACUAGUAGGUUUUGUGAUCUAAAGAAGUCAGACCUCCCUUCUCGUUCUCCUCCUACUGAUGAAGAAGCAGGAUGUACGAAGUUGAACUUACUGAAUAGGGGUUGAUGUCUGACAGCAGUUUGAAGAAAAGGUGGAUUCGGUUGUUCAGUCACACAGUGAUGAUGGGAUCUACUGGAGAGAGUCCUUCCUGCUCUGGCUGCAGCUGCUCUGAGCAAACUGUCAUGUGCAUUAAACCAAAGUGCAAUUCAUAUGUGUACAUAUUCUUACAUUUUGUGUUGUUGGUAUCCUUGUGUGUAUUUUUUCAGAUUUAUAUUGUGUGUGUAUAUCUCUUAUUCUGUCUUUAAUUUAUCGAUGUGUUCAUCACGUUACAAACUUCUCCUUUAUUCUAUUCUUAUUAUACCAUGGAAAUGAUGAACUGGCUUUAUUGGACACAGAAAAAUAUUUCUGCACAAAAGCUGUAAACGUGCAAUCGGAUGUCUUGUAUUUGUGGUCUGUUGUCUUUCCUUUUUAGACUGUUUUCCUCUCUUUUAAUUAAUCUUUCUUAUAGCCAGAAGCAUUUUGUCUUCUUUUGUUUUUAUUAUUUUUCUGACUGAUGCACUUUGACUCGGUUGUGUGCAGUUUCAUUGUAGUACACAGUGACAAUAGAGAUAUUCUGAAUGAUUUAAUUUUCUUGUUCUGCUUUACUACUGAAACUGUGAAGGGUCACACAUCUCACGCUUUAUUUUGAUUGUGUUUAUGUGCCACUUCAGAGCUCAGUAGUCUGGAUGGGGUUGUAUGGAGCUACCAUAUGUUUACUGUGUGUGGGGAUGAUGUAAAGUUGUUCCUCUGUUCUCCUUCUGCUCCUUUUCUCUUUGCUUCUGAUGUAAUUCUGCACUUUUCUGCAUUCCCUGUCCUUGUGACUGAAUUACAUUUUUUUUUCACUGACAAAAAAACAUUAAUGCAAGAAAAUUAUGGGUUUUGGUAAUCUGAGAAGAAUAUAUUGUAAAAUUGCAAUUACUUUGUUUUGUGUUGGUCAAAACCAGUCACAAAUAUAUCUGAACACAUGGAAUUUGCACUUCAUUGUGAGUUGAAUGCUUGUGUUUUGUUCCUGUUCACAUGUCUUAGGGAACAGUAAUUACCAAUAACAUUUAAUGUUAAAAAUGAACCUGAAUUCAGAUUUUUGUUUUCCCUCAGUUCAGCUCAUUUCAUUUUAUUUGGCCUUUGGAUAUUAAAAACAGAGUGAUUUUGGUAAGACCUGUUUAGAUUUGCCAUACAUAAGAAAAACUGCAUUAAUUAAUAAGAAGUCAAAAACCUUUCAGAAAAAAAACCUCAUCAACAUGCUUUGGCCUUACACUCCCAAUGUUUGGUCACCCUUAAUGACAGGAUGUCUCUUUAUACAGAGAGAAGAGCUAAUCUGUCCACUGUACUCUCUGAUCCCUCCUCUUAAAGUUUAAGGAAACAUUUAGUUUUGUACAAGUACAAAAUGAAAAAUGUGUGCAUUUGCAAUGAAAUUUCCAUCACAUAGCCAAUUUGCAUUUGAUUUUAAUUGUUAAAAGAACAUCGGGCAGAAUGCUUGGCCCUCAUGUAUGUUGACCUCAUCAAAUCUGGCCCUCUGUGAAAAAAGUUUGGACACCUUUGAAUUAGCUGAACUGUUGUUUUAACGUCAGCCUGUUUGUCUCGAUGCACACCAACACUCAAACUGAGAUGACCAUGCUGAACUGGAGAUCUCAUCACAAGCAAGUCAGAAUGUCAUGUCAGUCACCAAACUUUGAUGUGCAGGAGGUGAGUUAUCACCUUCCCUGUGACUCUGCUGAACAAGUCCUCUGUUUGGAGGAAAUGUGCGUCUUCAGAAACAUAUAAUAACAAUAAACUUUAUUUGUAUCGCACCUUUUAAAAACUGAGGUUUACAAAGUGCUUUGACACAGACAGGAACAUAAAAGCUUCACACCACAAGAAAGCAAAGAACAAGAUAAUUUAAAGGCCAGAACAUUUAAGACAUACACAAAAUGAAAAUGAAAAAACACGUUAGAAUUGUCACAUAUGAACGCACAGCUACACACAGGAAACAGAAACUGCUGAGUUGGCAGCAGAAAAUCAUCCUGUUUUGUAGCGAUGGUGGUAUAGUGGUGAGCAUAGCUGCCUUCCAAGCUGACCUGGGUUCGAUUUCCAGCCAUCGCAGAUGGAUUUUAUUUGUCACACUGUUUCAGAUCAUCAAAUGAGUAUGCUUAUAGGCAGUACUCCAAAGAUUGAUCCAAAUGGUAGUUUAAGUUUACUGAAACAUGUCACUGAUCUCGGAUGAAGAGGAUGAAACUGUGUCUGCUGCCUUUACAGAGGGGGAUCCAGAAAGGCAUACAGAGAGCAUGGCUGGACAGCAGCAGGAUGGUUCCUCAGCUUCCACUGCACAGACUGACACAGUGAGAUGGAUGUUCAGGAAACACCAGAGCUUCAUUCUGUGGAAUUCAUGUGCAACUGUACAAUUUAAUGUCCUCUAUGUAUUCCCAGUUAUCAGUAAAACGGAUUUACAAACUGCAUUUGCUGAGAAAAAUCCAAAAAAAACAGAUUAGGAGGGCAGAUCUGGAAAUUGAAAUACUGGAGCACAAGUUAGAGGUGGUGAUGGUCACAGGUGAAUUAUGUUCACUAUUGGAACAUGAACUGAACUAUCUUUUAUUUGUAGGAAAUAAAGAAGAGCAAAUGAAA
This is a long non-coding RNA of Acanthochromis polyacanthus (spiny chromis), 3921 nucleotides long. RefSeq lists it as uncharacterized. The transcript has 4 exons. The record is from RefSeq and is a predicted model, not a curated record. Lineage: Eukaryota; Metazoa; Chordata; Actinopteri; Pomacentridae.